CCUACGGGGGGCAGCAGUGGGGAAUAUUGCGCAAUGGGCGAAAGCCUGACGCAGCGACGCCGCGUGAGGGAUGAAGGUCUUCGGAUCGUAAACCUCUGUCAGCAGGGAAGAACGGUCACUGUGCUAAUCAGCAGUGAAUUGACGGUACCUGCAAAGGAAGCACCGGCUAACUCCGUGCCAGCAGCCGCGGUAAUACGGAGGGUGCGAGCGUUAAUCGGAAUUACUGGGAGUAAAGCGCUCGUAGGCGGUAUGUCAAGUCAAGGGUGAAAUCCCCGCGCUCAACGUGGGAACUGCCUUUGAAACUGGCAAACUGGAGUGUGUGAGAGGAUAGUGGAAUUCCUGGUGUAGGAGUGAAAUGCGUAGAUAUCUGGAGGAACAUCAGUGGCGAAGGCGACUAUCUGGCACAUAACUGACGCUGAGGAGCGAAAGCGUGGGUAGCAAACAGGAUUAGAUACCCUGGUAGUC
Molecule: ribosomal RNA, 465 nt
Filed under: uncultured bacterium
Lineage: Bacteria
Description: partial 16S ribosomal RNA
Rfam family: Bacterial small subunit ribosomal RNA
Source: RNAcentral